RNAcentral lists this ribosomal RNA (433 nucleotides) under uncultured bacterium. Its description in RNAcentral is "partial 16S ribosomal RNA". It matches the Rfam family "Bacterial small subunit ribosomal RNA", at positions 29 to 507 of the family's 1533-position model. The record is from RNAcentral.
AACGAACGAUGGCGGAAGGGAGAACAAAGGCAAGUCGAACGAAGCCUUCGGGCUUAGUGGCGCACGGGUGCGUAACGCGUGGGAAUCUGCCCUUGGGUUCGGAAUAACAGUUAGAAAUGACUGCUAAUACCGGAUGAUGUCUUCGGACCAAAGAUUUAUCGCCCAAGGAUGAGCCCGCGUCGGAUUAGCUAGUUGGUGAGGUAAAGGCUCACCAAGGCGACGAUCCGUAGCUGGUCUGAGAGGAUGAUCAGCCACACUGGGACUGAGACACGGCCCAGACUCCUACGGGAGGCAGCAGUGGGGAAUAUUGGACAAUGGGCGAAAGCCUGAUCCAGCAAUGCCGCGUGAGUGAUGCAGGCCUUAGGGUUGUAAAGCUCUUUUACCCGGGAUGAUAAUGACAGUACCGGGAGAAUAAGCCCCGGCUACCUCCGUG